Molecule: long non-coding RNA, 3217 nt
Filed under: Strigops habroptila (Kakapo)
Lineage: Eukaryota; Metazoa; Chordata; Aves; Psittaciformes; Psittacidae
Description: lncRNA (ENSSHBG00005002435.1)
Source: RNAcentral
ACGCUACUCAACGUGAAAAGGAGCACGUUUGAUUGAUAGUUUCUCUGUGUGUGUCUGUGUGUGUGCGCCUAUACACACAACUCUCUGUAGUUGCAUGUAUAUGUGUUUGGCAAAACCGGGCAUCUCCGGCAGUCCUUAUCUCAAGAAAUGUGAGACAAACAUCCAUCCCUUUAAUCAUGUUCAUCUUUGAUCACCGGCGAGGGUGACAUAGUCCACAAAAUUAACAAAGAAACUCCCUUGCUUUUGAGGAAUAGCUACAUGUACAUUUGGGUCUGCACACACGUGCACCACGGGCACACGGACACACGGACACGCAGGCAUCCACCCCGACUCCCAGCAAGGAAAUUAUUGCAUAACUUUCCCUGUAAUUGAUACCAGACACCUUUAAUUUUUCAUUUUCAUUCUUUGGGCCGGCUUUCACAUUAACAAUCUAAGCCGUAAAUGUUGGUGGCUAUUGAUCGCAGUCCCCUGUGUGCGUGCAAAUCCAUUUUCAAGUCCCCUGCCUGCUCAGGAGCGGGAGAGGCCCCUUGCACACGCAUAUGUGUGUGUGCUUGUGCAAGGGGCCUCGUCGGCUCCUGAGCAGGAUCUGCCCCCAGCCUGCUUGAAGACGACCCCGGAUACACAACGUGUGCUCAUGGCCAAGGGAAAGCACGCACACACACACACACACAAAAAAGCCACAAACGAUGGAGAAGUAGAGAAACAGAGGUCUCCGUACGAGAUGCGGAGCAAGAUCCGCAGCCCAAAGUGUGUCCUCGGCAGACGCCAGGGUGGCUCUCCCACGGGCGAGGAAGAGGAAGGCGAGGCUGGGGGAUCCCAAGGCAAGGCGAGGGAAGGCGAACUCCGCGGAUGGUCUUGGCUGCGCCGAGGCAUUGUUCGCUGCUGCCUCUCGGUUACGUUUAAAGGCUGAAAUAUCACGAGAUCCACUCAAUGAUCCUUUUCUAAUUCGAGGGACAAAAUGUAAUUUGCCGUAGCUCUGCUUCCUCGGAUGGGAAGGCUAUCCCCGGGUUCCAAAGGGAAGAGCUAGGCACCGCGGUUCGCACACACAUGGAUUAAGUUGAACAGCGGCGGCUACAUCUGCACUGGGAGCAACAGUAGUCCAGGGCUGACUUUUCAAAUCUCAGCCCUCCGAGUUAGAGGCUCCCUUGAAUAGACUUCCUCCAUUCCCGGAUGCACUUCUCCAAAUUCCCACUUCUCUCUAGAAUUCCAGCGAAACUGGGGGCUCGCCUGUAUUUCGCUUUGACGUGCAAACCCGCGGUUUUUACAGAGUGAUUAUGCGCUUUCUUUUAGCUCUACCUGACGGGGUAACACGAACUCCACGCACCAUCUUGCCAAUACACGGAGUGGAUAUUGACGUUUGGGAUUGAAGAUUUUUUUUUUUUUAAUUAUAUUAUUAUUAUUUUCUUCGUCGAUUUUUUUCCCCCUCCAAGUCCCAGAAAUAUGAGCUGUCUCAUUCAUCUCUCGGAUAUGUGUCUUUCUGGAUGUGCGGCGAUACCCAAACGUGCUCGUGUUCGUACCCAGCGGAGCACUGGAGGCACGGCGGAGGUUGGCGAUUUCUUUUUUCGCGGCGCCUAACGUGCAACCCGGGAGGAGCAUCCACACACACACACCCCCCCCCGGUGCCACGGGAGAGGCGUGCGGCCAUCGCGACAUUGGCGAACCCCCCCGGUCCUGACACUCGACUCGUUUCACGUCCCUAAGAAGAGGUUAAACCUCCAUGCUGCUUCUUCAAAUUGAUUUUAAGGGGCUGCUCUCAAUGGAACAUCAAAAAGCUGCGGCAGGGCUACUCCGGGCGGAAUAUGCGAGCUGCGAGGCAGCAGCAUCCUAGCCCCUCGCAAUACCCUACAUUGUGUGUGCCAGCACUUUUUUGUUAUUACGUAAAGGCUCCUGGAAGCACCUUGGAUAUUUUGCAUUCUCCUUUCUCUGCUGGAAGCAAUCAGCACGCAGGAAUCCUGACGUGGGCUUCGGGACGAUAGGACAUUCCAGCUCGGGAUCCAGCCCGGUUAAUCGUGAAAAGUGUAUACAUUUCUGGCUUAUCUAUGCUUUGUUAUGGGUCUGACGUGAGCCCACGUCCUCCUCCCCCCUCCCGCAAUAUUACAGGCAGAAUUUCAGCUAAAAGUGUUACAGUCUCACGGUGCGGGAACCCGUGAUAUUCAGACAGCAAAAUAACCUUAGUCCCAGCCUGUAAAAAAAAAAAAAAAAAAAAAGCUAAUUAAGCCGAAGAGGAAAAUCAAGAGAAACUCGAAAAUGUAAGUAUUCCCUCUCGCUAACAGCCGAGCAUUUAACUUUGGAGCCUCAACAAGGGAAAUACCGGGCUGCUCGGCACGUUUUCGCUAAGCUUCGUUCUCCACACAAUGCAGAAUAAAACGCUGGUUUAAAGCGGCCACGUUACCGAAGGAUUUUCCACCGCUACUGGCAGACUUACGUCCUUUAAAAUCACGGCAUGCACAAAAGAGCAACGUUUGUCCAAAAUAGGCUAAAAAUACACGGAACGAGAGGGGGGAAAAGCGUACAAAUCCUUCCUCGGAAGCUAGCGACAAGGAAGUCGGAGAGGUCUGAGUGUGUUUGAGCUCGGAUUGUUUAAUAGAAAGAUUUAUAUACUAACUGUAUUAUUUACUUUGGGAGGGGAGGUGGCAGUAUAAGGGUAUGCUAAUUAGUGGGAGAUUUUUUGGGGGAAGGGGUGGAAUAUCAAUUUUUAUUGCAUCACCUGUCAGGAGUGUCCAAUCAGCGUUGGCUUUAGGGGAAUUAAUUGAUGAAGGUGUCUCCGGACGAGCUCACUUCACUCUGUCAUUUUAUUUGUAGCUAAAGCAGCGGCGGGAAUAGCAGCUGCAUUUCUUUUCUCUUCCUCCCUUCACAUUCCAUUAUCAUAGUUUCCAAUGGAAAAGCAGGGAAUGAAAGGGAACAGGUACUGAUCUUCAACAGCAACUUAGAGAAACACUUUGGCAAACCUGAUUUUUAAGAUUAUCUAUUGAUUGUAGCCUCACGGUAUUUUUAUUUUUUUAUUUAUUUUUUUUUCAAUUUUGUCUAAAGUUUGGCACUUCAUUCACCAGGAAUAACAGCCUUUGUUAUAUUUUAUUAGCAGGAUGCCUUGAGACAAAUACAGCAUCUGGCUGAGGAUUGUGUGUGUGUGGCUUUUUCUUUUUUUUUUUUGGUCCUUUUUUUUUUUCCUUUUUUUUUUUUUUUUCCUCCACCUCUCUCUCACUCUCUGCAAAUGCUG